AACGGGGUGUUAGGGCACGACACCGGAGAGGGAGCCUGAGAAACGGCUACCACAUCCAAGGAUGGCAGCAGGCGCGCAAAUUACCCAAUCCCGACACGGGGAGGUAGUGACAAUAAAUAACAAUACGGGGUUCUUUCGGAUUUCGUAAUUGGAAUGAGUACAAUUUAAAUCUCUUAACGAGGAACAAUUGGGGGGCAAGUCUGGUGCCAGCAGCCGCGAUAAUUCCAGCUCCAAUAGCGUAUAUUAAAGUUGCUGCAGUUAAAAAGCUCGUAGUUGAAUUUCGGGACCAAUAUGUCGGUCGUGCCUCGGUACGUACUGGCAUCGUUGGUUUCUCCCUUCUGACGAACCAUGAUGUCACUUAUUUGGUGUCGUGGGGAAUCAGGACUGUUACUUUGAAAAAAUUAGAGUGUUUAAAGCAGGCUCACGCUUGAAUACAUUAGCAUGGAAUAAUGAAAUAGGACGUUUGAUUCUAUUUUGUUGGUUUCUAGGAUCGACGUAAUGAUUAAUAGGGAUAGUUGGGGGCAUUAGUAUUCAAUUGUCAGAGGUGAAAUUCUUGGAUUUAUUGAAGACUAACUACUGCGAAAGCAUUUGCCAAGGAUGUUUUCAUUAAUCAAGAACGAAAGUUAGGGGAUCGAAGACGAUCAGAUACCGUCGUAGUCUUAACCAUAAACUAUGCCGACUAGGGAUCGGAUGAUGUUA
Molecule: ribosomal RNA, 699 nt
Filed under: uncultured Glomeromycotina
Lineage: Eukaryota; Fungi; Glomeromycota
Description: SSU rRNA
Rfam family: Eukaryotic small subunit ribosomal RNA
Source: RNAcentral